This 372-nucleotide ribosomal RNA is filed under the name uncultured bacterium. RNAcentral describes it as "bacterial SSU rRNA". It matches the Rfam family "Bacterial small subunit ribosomal RNA", at positions 30 to 402 of the family's 1533-position model. The record is from RNAcentral.
AUUGAACGCUGGCGGCAUGCCUUACACAUGCAAGUCGAACGGCAGCACGGGAGCAAUCCUGGUGGCGAGUGGCGAACGGGUGAGUAAUAUAUCGGAACGUGCCCAGUCGUGGGGGAUAACGUAGCGAAAGCUACGCUAAUACCGCAUACGAUCUAUGGAUGAAAGCGGGGGAUCGCAAGACCUCGCGCGAUUGGAGCGGCCGAUGUCGGAUUAGCUAGUUGGUAGGGUAAAGGCCUACCAAGGCGACGAUCCGUAGCGGGUCUGAGAGGAUGAUCCGCCACACUGGGACUGAGACACGGCCCAGACUCCUACGGGAGGCAGCAGUGGGGAAUUUUGGACAAUGGGCGAAAGCCUGAUCCAGCCAUGCCGCGU